AGUUUAAAUUUCUAGGUAGAAUUAUGAUGAUGACAUUAUCUAUCUAUUAGUCUUGACCAAAUUACGUGCCAGCAGUCGCGGUAAUACGUAGAAGACAAGUGUUAUUCAUCUUUAUUAGGUUUAAAGGGUACCAAGACGGUUAAUAAAGCCCAAAAGAAAUGAAUACGGGGGACACAUUAACUAGAGUUAUAUGAAAGGAAGAAGAACUGUUGAGUGGAGAGAUGAAAUUUAAUUAUACCAUAUGCGUGGCACAGAUUUAUGCGAAGGCAUCUUCUUAUGUAAUAACUGACGUUGUAGGACGAAGGCUUAGGGAGUGAACAGGAUUAGGUACCCCAGUAAUCUAUGCAGAAAAUGAUGAAUGUCAUAGGUUCAAUACUGACUGGUUAAUUUGACUAAAGAAUAGUUUAUGGUGAUAGAUUAACUAAUCAAUGGUGAUAAAUUAACUAAUCAGUCUAUUGUGUCUAUAAAUGAAAGUGUAAGCAUUCCACCUCAAGAGUAAUUUGGCAACAUUGGAACUGAAAUCAUUAGACCGUUUCUGAAACCAGUAGUGAAGUAUGUUGUUUAAUUAGAUGAUACACAAAAACCUUACCACAAUUUGAAUAUAUAUAAAAUAUAUUUACAUGCGCUGCACGGCUGUCUACAGUUAAUGUC
This 651-nucleotide ribosomal RNA is filed under the name Sticta cometiella. RNAcentral's name for it is "SSU rRNA". It matches the Rfam family "Bacterial small subunit ribosomal RNA", at positions 443 to 1066 of the family's 1533-position model. The record is from RNAcentral. Lineage: Eukaryota; Fungi; Ascomycota; Lecanoromycetes; Peltigerales; Lobariaceae.